Molecule: ribosomal RNA, 1326 nt
Filed under: Staphylococcus aureus
Lineage: Bacteria; Bacillati; Bacillota; Bacilli; Caryophanales; Staphylococcaceae
Description: partial 23S ribosomal RNA
Rfam family: Bacterial large subunit ribosomal RNA
Source: RNAcentral
AAGACAUUGUGUCUUCGAGUCGUUGAUUUCACACUGCCGAGAAAAGCCUCUAGAUAGAAAAUAGGUGCCCGUACCGCAAACCGACACAGGUAGUCAAGAUGAGAAUUCUAAGGUGAGCGAGCGAACUCUCGUUAAGGAACUCGGCAAAAUGACCCCGUAACUUCGGGAGAAGGGGUGCUCUUUAGGGUUAACGCCCAGAAGAGCCGCAGUGAAUAGGCCCAAGCGACUGUUUAUCAAAAACACAGGUCUCUGCUAAACCGUAAGGUGAUGUAUAGGGGCUGACGCCUGCCCGGUGCUGGAAGGUUAAGAGGAGUGGUUAGCUUCUGCGAAGCUACGAAUCGAAGCCCCAGUAAACGGCGGCCGUAACUAUAACGGUCCUAAGGUAGCGAAAUUCCUUGUCGGGUAAGUUCCGACCCGCACGAAAGGCGUAACGAUUUGGGCACUGUCUCAACGAGAGACUCGGUGAAAUCAUAGUACCUGUGAAGAUGCAGGUUACCCGCGACAGGACGGAAAGACCCCGUGGAGCUUUACUGUAGCCUGAUAUUGAAAUUCGGCACAGCUUGUACAGGAUAGGUAGGAGCCUUUGAAACGUGAGCGCUAGCUUACGUGGAGGCGCUGGUGGGAUACUACCCUAGCUGUGUUGGCUUUCUAACCCGCACCACUUAUCGUGGUGGGAGACAGUGUCAGGCGGGCAGUUUGACUGGGGCGGUCGCCUCCUAAAAGGUAACGGAGGCGCUCAAAGGUUCCCUCAGAAUGGUUGGAAAUCAUUCAUAGAGUGUAAAGGCAUAAGGGAGCUUGACUGCGAGACCUACAAGUCGAGCAGGGUCGAAAGACGGACUUAGUGAUCCGGUGGUUCCGCAUGGAAGGGCCAUCGCUCAACGGAUAAAAGCUACCCCGGGGAUAACAGGCUUAUCUCCCCCAAGAGUUCACAUCGACGGGGAGGUUUGGCACCUCGAUGUCGGCUCAUCGCAUCCUGGGGCUGUAGUCGGUCCCAAGGGUUGGGCUGUUCGCCCAUUAAAGCGGUACGCGAGCUGGGUUCAGAACGUCGUGAGACAGUUCGGUCCCUAUCCGUCGUGGGCGUAGGAAAUUUGAGAGGAGCUGUCCUUAGUACGAGAGGACCGGGAUGGACAUACCUCUGGUGUACCAGUUGUCGUGCCAACGGCAUAGCUGGGUAGCUAUGUGUGGACGGGAUAAGUGCUGAAAGCAUCUAAGCAUGAAGCCCCCCUCAAGAUGAGAUUUCCCAACUUCGGUUAUAAGAUCCCUCAAAGAUGAUGAGGUUAAUAGGUUCGAGGUGGAAGCAUGGUGACAUGUGGAGCUGACGAAUAC